This 643-nucleotide unclassified non-coding RNA is filed under the name Hevea brasiliensis (rubber tree). Lineage: Eukaryota; Viridiplantae; Streptophyta; Magnoliopsida; Malpighiales; Euphorbiaceae. The record is from RNAcentral.
CUUUUGGGCUUAUGGAGAAAUUAUGGUUUUUGUGUACCUAAUAGUUCUAUUAUUGAUUUGAUUAGCAGUAUGUUAUUUUUGUUGUAGCUUAGAAGUGUCUUAGGUUCUGAUAUUGUUGGGCAGCUAGGAAAUUUGAGAGAUAAGAGGAAGAAUUAGAAAGAGCCGAAGAAGAGAGAGAGAGAACAGGAGGAGGAGUUUAGGAAGUUUUAGUUUCUUUGAUUACAACUGAUUAUUUGUACUACAACUAUUCUAGUAAACUCAUAACGAGAGCCAGCUAUGCUUUUCAACUCUAAUGGACACUGAUUUUCAUCUCAUUUGCUAAUAAAGUAUUGUAUCUAACUUUGCCAUUAUUGUUAUGAUCAUAAUCCUCAUAUGAAAAUUUUAAAUAUGUGGCAGAACUACCGUGUUUAGUCACUCGCAAACGGUGGUGGUGUGUGGGAACUGCCAGACAGUUUUGUGUCAGCCAACUGGUGGGCGCGCAAGGCUUACAGAGGGUUGCUCUUUUAGGAGAAAGGGUGAUUGAAGAUGAGGAAUGAUAUGUUGCUUUUCCUUGGUAAACUCAAGUUGUUUUCUUUUUAAAUGAUGGUGAUUUUGACAACGGAACGGAAACUCUUUUGGCCUUUAAUUUUUUUUUUAAUUUUUU